GUGCUUAACACAUGCAAGUCGCGUGCGCGGUUCCGUAGCAAUACGGGAUGGGCGCACGGCGCACGGGUGCGUAACACGUGGGCAAUCUGCCCUCCGAUGGGGAAUAACCCCGCGAAAGCGGGGCUAAUACCGCAUAACAUUCCUUGGACUACGGUUUGAGGACUCAAAGCAGCAAUGCGUCGGAGGAGGAGCCCGCGCCCGAUUAGCUAGUUGGUGAGGUAACGGCUCACCAAGGCAAUGAUCGGUAGCUGGUCUGAGAGGAUGGCCAGCCACACUGGAACUGAGACACGGUCCAG
Molecule: ribosomal RNA, 296 nt
Filed under: uncultured bacterium
Lineage: Bacteria
Description: partial 16S ribosomal RNA
Rfam family: Bacterial small subunit ribosomal RNA
Source: RNAcentral